GUGGAUUAGAUACCCUGGUAGUCCACGCCGUAAACGAUGAUAACUAGCUAUUGGGGCACAUGGUGCUUCGGUGGCGCAGCUAACGCAUUAAGUUAUCCGCCUGGGGAGUACGGUCGCAAGAUUAAAACUCAAAGGAAUUGACGGGGGCCUGCACAAGCGGUGGAGCAUGUGGUUUAAUUCGAAGCAACGCGCAGAACCUUACCAGCCUUUGACAUCCUGGUCGCGGAUUAGAGAGAUCUUUUCCUUCAGUUCGGCUGGACCAGUGACAGGUGCUGCACGGUCGUCGACAGCU
This 292-nucleotide ribosomal RNA is filed under the name uncultured bacterium. Its description in RNAcentral is "partial 16S ribosomal RNA". It matches the Rfam family "Bacterial small subunit ribosomal RNA", at positions 773 to 1060 of the family's 1533-position model. The record is from RNAcentral.